This 694-nucleotide ribosomal RNA is filed under the name uncultured bacterium. RNAcentral's name for it is "bacterial SSU rRNA". It matches the Rfam family "Bacterial small subunit ribosomal RNA", at positions 111 to 823 of the family's 1533-position model. The record is from RNAcentral.
UAACGCGUGGAUAACCUGCCCAUACCGGGGGAUAACAGUUAGAAAUGACUGCUAAUACCGCAUAAGCGCACGGAGCCGCAUGGCGCAGUGUGAAAAACUCCGGUGGUAUGGGAUGGAUCCGCGUCUGAUUAGCUAGUUGGCGGGGUAACGGCCCACCAAGGCAGCGAUCAGUAGCCGACCUGAGAGGGUGGCCGGCCACAUUGGGACUGAGACACGGCCCAAACUCCUACGGGAGGCAGCAGUGGGGAAUAUUGCACAAUGGGGGAAACCCUGAUGCAGCAACGCCGCGUGAGUGAAGAAGUAUUUCGGUAUGUAAAGCUCUAUCAGCAGGGAAGAAGAAGGACGGUACCUGACUAAGAAGCCCCGGCUAACUACGUGCCAGCAGCCGCGGUAAUACGUAGGGGGCGAGCGUUAUCCGGAUUUACUGGGUGUAAAGGGAGCGUAGACGGUUUUUCAAGUCUGAAGUGAAAGCCCGCGGCUCAACUGCGGAACGGCUUUGGAAACUGAGGGACUAGAGUGCUGGAGGGGCAGGCGGAAUUCCUGGUGUAGCGGUGAAAUGCGUAGAUAUCAGGAGGAACACCGGUGGCGAAGGCGGCCUGCUGGACAGUAACUGACGUUGAGGCUCGAAAGCGUGGGGAGCAAACAGGAUUAGAUACCCUGGUAGUCCACGCGGUAAACGAUGAAUGCUAGGUGU